This 235-nucleotide ribosomal RNA is filed under the name uncultured bacterium. Its description in RNAcentral is "partial 16S ribosomal RNA". It matches the Rfam family "Bacterial small subunit ribosomal RNA", at positions 118 to 347 of the family's 1533-position model. The record is from RNAcentral.
UGAAGAAUUUGUCCAACGGCGGGGGAUAGCCGGCCCAACGGCCGGGUAAUACCGCGUACGACCCUCGGGGGGCAUCCCCUGAAGGUGAAAGCCGCAAGGCGCCGAUGGAGAACUUCGCGGCCUAUCAGCUAGUUGGUGAGGUCAUGGCUCACCAAGGCGACGACGGGUAGCUGGUCCGAGAGGAUGACCAGCCACAUUGGGACUGAGACACGGCCCAGACUCCGUACGGGAGCAG